This 87-nucleotide signal recognition particle RNA is filed under the name Vagococcus allomyrinae. RNAcentral describes it as "Bacterial small signal recognition particle RNA". It matches the Rfam family "Bacterial small signal recognition particle RNA". Rfam says of the family: The signal recognition particle (SRP) is a universally conserved ribonucleoprotein involved in the co-translational targeting of proteins to membranes. Lineage: Bacteria; Bacillati; Bacillota; Bacilli; Lactobacillales; Enterococcaceae. The record is from Rfam by way of RNAcentral.
AGGCUAGGGCAAUGAUGGAUUUGGUAAGCGUGUCAGGUCUGGAAGGAAGCAGCACAUAUCAAGUCUUAUCAUGUGCCUGAAUUAAAU